Molecule: ribosomal RNA, 619 nt
Filed under: Chromobacterium haemolyticum
Lineage: Bacteria; Pseudomonadati; Pseudomonadota; Betaproteobacteria; Neisseriales; Chromobacteriaceae
Description: bacterial SSU rRNA
Rfam family: Bacterial small subunit ribosomal RNA
Source: RNAcentral
GGGUGAGUAAUGCAUCGGAAUGUACCGUGUAAUGGGGGAUAGCUCGGCGAAAGCCGGAUUAAUACCGCAUACGCCCUGAGGGGGAAAGUGGGGGACCGUAAGGCCUCACGUUAUACGAGCAGCCGAUGUCUGAUUAGCUAGUUGGUGGGGUAAAGGCUCACCAAGGCGACGAUCAGUAGCGGGUCUGAGAGGAUGAUCCGCCACACUGGGACUGAGACACGGCCCAGACUCCUACGGGAGGCAGCAGUGGGGAAUUUUGGACAAUGGGCGCAAGCCUGAUCCAGCCAUGCCGCGUGUCUGAAGAAGGCCUUCGGGUUGUAAAGGACUUUUGUCCGGGAGCAAAUCCCAGUGGUUAACACCUACUGGGGCUGAGAGUACCGGAAGAAUAAGCACCGGCUAACUACGUGCCAGCAGCCGCGGUAAUACGUAGGGUGCAAGCGUUAAUCGGAAUUACUGGGCGUAAAGCGUGCGCAGGCGGUUGUGCAAGUCUGAUGUGAAAGCCCCGGGCUUAACCUGGGAACGGCAUUGGAGACUGCACGACUAGAGUGCGUCAGAGGGGGGUAGAAUUCCGCGUGUAGCAGUGAAAUGCGUAGAGAUGCGGAGGAAUACCGAUGGCGAA